UUGCCUUAGUAACGGCGAGUGAAGCGGCAAAAGCUCAAAUUUGAAAUCGGCCACCAGGUCGAGUUGUAAUUUGUAGAUUGUAUCUUGAGAGCGGAUUAAAGUCUGUUGGAACACAGCGCCUUAGAGGGUGACAGCCCCGUAAAAUCUAUUCUCAUUGUAAGAUACUUUCGAAGAGUCGAGUUGUUUGGGAAUGCAGCUCUAAGUGGGAGGUAAAUUCCUUCUAAAGCUAAAUAUUGACGAGAGACCGAUAGCGAACAAGUACUGUGAAGGAAAGAUGAAAAGCACUUUGAAAAGAGAGUGAAAAAGUACGUGAAAUUGUUAAAAGGGAAGGGUAUUGAAUCAGACUUGGUGCUGUUGUUCAACUGUGUUUCGGCAUAGUGUACUCAGCAGUACUAGGCCAAGGUGGGGUGUUUGGGAGUGAAAAAGAAGUUGGAACGUAACUCUUCGGAGUGUUAUAGCCUACUUUCAUAGCUCCUCAGGCGCCUCAGGACUGCGCUU
This 498-nucleotide ribosomal RNA is filed under the name Geotrichum candidum. RNAcentral's name for it is "eukaryotic LSU rRNA". It matches the Rfam family "Eukaryotic large subunit ribosomal RNA", at positions 75 to 602 of the family's 3401-position model. Lineage: Eukaryota; Fungi; Ascomycota; Dipodascomycetes; Dipodascales; Dipodascaceae. The record is from RNAcentral.